UAAAUCCGGUUCACUUUAACACUGAGGCGUGACGACGAGGCACUACGGUGCUGAAGCAACAAAUGCCCUGCUUCCAGGAAAAGCCUCUAAGCAUCAGGUAACAUCAAAUCGUACCCCAAACCGACACAGGUGGUCAGGUAGAGAAUACCAAGGCGCUUGAGAGAACUCGGGUGAAGGAACUAGGCAAAAUGGUGCCGUAACUUCGGGAGAAGGCACGCUGACACGUAGGUGAAGUGAUUUACUCAUGGAGCUGAAGUCAGUCGAAGAUACCAGCUGGCUGCAACUGUUUAUUAAAAACACAGCACUGUGCAAACACGAAAGUGGACGUAUACGGUGUGACGCCUGCCCGGUGCCGGAAGGUUAAUUGAUGGGGUCAGCGCAAGCGAAGCUCCUGAUCGAAGCCCCGGUAAACGGCGGCCGUAACUAUAACGGUCCUAAGGUAGCGAAAUUCCUUGUCGGGUAAGUUCCGACCUGCACGAAUGGCGUAAUGAUGGCCAGGCUGUCUCCACCCGAGACUCAGUGAAAUUGAACUCGCUGUGAAGAUGCAGUGUACCCGCGGCAAGACGGAAAGACCCCGUGAACCUUUACUAUAGCUUGACACUGAACAUUGAGCCUUGAUGUGUAGGAUAGGUGGGAGGCUUUGAAGUGUGGACGCCAGUCUGCAUGGAGCCGACCUUGAAAUACCACCCUUUAAUGUUUGAUGUUCUAACGUGGACCCGUAAUCCGGGUUGCGGACAGUGUCUGGUGGGUAGUUUGACUGGGGCGGUCUCCUCCUAAAGAGUAACGGAGGAGCACGAAGGUUGGCUAAUCCUGGUCGGACAUCAGGAGGUUAGUGCAAUGGCAUAAGCCAGCUUGACUGCGAGCGUGACGGCGCGAGCAGGUGCGAAAGCAGGUCAUAGUGAUCCGGUGGUUCUGAAUGGAAGGGCCAUCGCUCAACGGAUAAAAGGUACUCCGGGGAUAACAGGCUGAUACCGCCCAAGAGUUCAUAUCGACGGCGGUGUUUGGCACCUCGAUGUCGGCUCAUCACAUCCUGGGGCUGAAGUAGGUCCCAAGGGUAUGGCUGUUCGCCAUUUAAAGUGGUACGCGAGCUGGGUUUAGAACGUCGUGAGACAGUUCGGUCCCUAUCUGCCGUGGGCGCUGGAGAACUGAGGGGGGCUGCUCCUAGUACGAGAGGACCGGAGUGGACGCAUCACUGGUGUUCGGGUUGUCAUGCCAAUGGCACUGCCCGGUAGCUAAAUGCGGAAGAGAUAAGUGCUGAAAGCAUCUAAGCACGAAACUUGCCCCGAGAUGAGUUCUCCCUGAGACUUAGAGUCUCCUGAAGGAACGUUGAAGACGACGACGUUGAUAGGCCGGGUGUGUAAGCGCAGCGAUGCGUUGAGCUAACCGGUACUAAUGAACCGUGAGG
RNAcentral lists this ribosomal RNA (1405 nucleotides) under Salmonella enterica subsp. enterica serovar Newport. RNAcentral describes it as "partial 23S ribosomal RNA". It matches the Rfam family "Bacterial large subunit ribosomal RNA", at positions 1537 to 2916 of the family's 2925-position model. Lineage: Bacteria; Pseudomonadati; Pseudomonadota; Gammaproteobacteria; Enterobacterales; Enterobacteriaceae. RNAcentral also lists the same sequence under 1 other name. The record is from RNAcentral.